Molecule: non-coding RNA, 106 nt
Organism: Clostridium sp. CAG:417
Lineage: Bacteria; Bacillati; Bacillota; Clostridia; Eubacteriales; Clostridiaceae
Source: Rfam
AAAUUUAAUUUGUUGGUGCCAUAGACAGUAGGUUGUUAGUAAAUCCUACCGAGGACUACUUUAUAGAAGGGUUCUUGUAUUGGCAAGAGCCUUUUUUGUGGCAACU